CAGACAGGUGGAGGAACCAAUCACGGGGCUGUAUUCAGACACCGGCACGCGGAACAGGUUGUAUCGGACCAAUGGAAACCCACGGAGCGGACGCGCCCCAAUUGGGCAGGGGAGGGCCCAGUGGGCGGUGCUUCCUCAGUCGGCAUGUGGGCGGGGAUCAGCAGCCGCAGAGGCGUCGACGGCGGUGGCGACGACGUUCCUUAGUUUUCGGUGUGGGCUCAUUGGCGCUGGCACGGCUGCUGGGAGGGCUCGGUUGUCAGCAGCGGCGGCCCUACGGCGGGGGGCCGCGGCGCCAUGGGGGGACGGUAGACGGGCUCCGACUCUAGAGGCGAGAGGCGGCGGCGGUCCUCCGGCCCUCGGCGACCUUCGGCGGGGCCCAGGGGUGGGGAGGCCCGGGGCGGGGGUCGUCCCGGGCAGCGCGGGGCCGCGGGGCGGGGCUCGCAGGUCAUUGGGGAGCAAGAGGCCUGGGCCGCCGCGAGGAGCCGCCGCCGGCCGCUGGGCCCCGCCACCGGGCCGCUUGACGACGACGCUUCCGCGGGAGCCUAGCCUGAGGAGGACGCGGCGGCGGCGGCGGCGAGGCCGCGGGAGGCCGCGGAGGAUGGAGGAGCGGAAGGAAGAGGGCGAGGCAGAGAUUCAGGAGCACGGGCCCGAGCAUUGGUUCUCCAAGUGGGAGCGGCAGUGCCUGGCCGAGGCCGAGCAGGACGAGCAGCUACCCCCGGAGCUGCAGGACGAGGCGGCGGCCGGGGCGCAGCCCGAGCACAAGCAACAGAAGCUGUGGCACCUCUUCCAGAACUCGGCCACCGCCGUGGCCCAGCUCUACAAAGACCGAGUGUGUCAGCAACAAGGACUUUCUCUCUGGGUCCCCUUCCAAAACGCAGCCACCGCCGUCACCAACCUCUACAAAGAAAGCGUGGACACCCAUCAGCGAAGUUUUGAUAUUGGAAUUCAGAUUGGCUAUCAGCGACGCAAUAAGGAUGUGUUGGCUUGGGUUAAAAAGCGCAGAAGAACUAUUCGUAGAGAAGAUUUGAUCAGCUUCCUGUGUGGGAAAGUUCCUCCACCACGAAACUCUAGAGCUCCCCCAAGACUGACUGUAGUGUCCCCUAACCGAGCUACUUCAACGGAAACUAGCUCAUCUGUAGAGACUGAUUUGCAACCCUUCCGGGAAGCCAUAGCUCUGCAUGGUCUUAGUGGUGCAAUGGCUAGUAUAAGCGUGCGUUCGAGUACCCCAGGCUCUCCUACACAUGUAAGCAGUGGAUCGAAUGCUAGUCGAAGGAGAAAUGGACUCCAUGAUGUCGAUUUGAACACUUUCAUAUCAGAAGAAAUGGCACUCCACUUGGACAAUGGUGGAACUAGAAAGCGUACCUCAGCCCAGUGUGGCGAUGUCAUUACAGACUCACCAACCCAUAAACGCAACAGAAUGAUCUAAACUGAAAACAUUUUCACACCCACCAUGCUGCUUGAAAGCCACUUGAUCCUCAACAUAUACUAUUAUUGCAAAGGAAACAUGAGGCCAUCUUCCCUUGUUCACUGUUUCUAAGACAAGUGAAUUCUAUAGUGGUUGCCAUAAAAGGAAGUUCUAGGUAUUUACAGUAGAUGCCUCUUGUAACCAUGGCUUUCUUAAAACUAUAAUCCUAGCAGAGGACAUCAGAUAUUGUGUAGUUAGCAAGAUCAUCAUAGGCAAACAUAUAUCCGUUCCAAGGCUAAAAGUGACCUUAACUGUAUUUAUUCUCAAAGGGAAAGGAAAUAUCAGAUGUUUAUUUGGUUAUAGAAUGCUUUUCCCCCCCUCCAUUUCCUGCUGUGUUGAGUAUUUUGCUUCAACAGUAUUGCCAGGUUCCUAAAAUUGUCUAAAACACGAUUUGGCUUCCUCGUCAAAUCUGCAGGCUUCCAUUUUUGCACAGCAGCACUGUACCAUGCACCUGAUUUCUAUAUAGUAACAGUGUGCAACUUCUAAUUCUUGGACUGUGCCCUGUUUUCAGUUUUCAAAGCAGUUGCUAAUUCUGGUGAUUGUGUGAUGUAAAGAGGUGCUAUGAUGGUCAUGCAAUUAAUACUUAAUAUUGAAUCAAUACACAGAACUUUAUUGGAUUCACUUUGUGUGUGUUAGUGCUCUAAAAGUAGCAAUAUUUUAAUCGCCCCCAGAUGAAUGAACCCUUUAGGCUUAAACUCCAGUUUUAAGACAAGUACUGCUUCCCAUGCAGGGUACUUAUUCUUAUGGUAAAUGUAAACAUGUAGACUGCACUCAAGGUGACCUAAAGUAGAGAGGUCAUGAAAUUUGAGAGUGGACUUCCUUUUUGGUAUAGUAUUCAUGAGAAGGGAGAUGGAUGGUGGGAGUGUAGGUAUUCCAGCCUUUCUGUCCUGUUUUACAUUUUUUAUGAGUGCCCUACAUUGUGCAGUUUCCAUUAGAAUGGGUGGCAGGUUAAAAUAGGUCUUGAUCUGCUUACAGUGUGAUUACAACUUAAAUAGCAAAACCCAACUCGAAUCCCUCUCCUAAAAAGGGCAGUUUGGAAUCUCAUUCUGGAAAAGAUGGAAUCGCAUGGAGGUUCUCUAGAUGUUAGGUAGACCUAAAUAAAAGUUCUCACUAGAUUCCUCUUUUGAGUAAAAUAUAAGACCUCUUGUAGCUACAAUGUUUUAGAGCAUGUUUCAUCUUCAUUUUUAAUAUCUCGAACUGAAUGAUAGUCUUUUUUUAGAUGAAGAACUGAUGUCAGCCUGCCAGGUUGAUUCGUUAGGGUGUCUAGUGAUGAAGUUGGGAAUCUUCAGAAAUACAUUCUGUCCUCUAGGAAUGGAGUGACUUGGAAGGUCCCUCCAAACAAGGUAAAAAACAAACCCAUGUUUGUUUACUUAAUAUUUUAAUGUUUGUUCAUCUUCACCUGAGGAUGUUUUUCCAUUGAUUUUUAGGGAGAGUGGAAGAGAGAGGGAAAGACGGGGAGAAAUCGAUGUGAGAGAAACACAUCGGUUGCCUCCUUCAUGAGUUCCGACCAGGUCGCGGGCUGGGGAGGAGUAUCCAUCCAAUCAAGGUACCUGCCCUUGACCGGAAUCGAACCCGGGACCCUUUGGUCCUCAGGCUGGUGCUCUAUCCAUUGACCCAAACUGGCUAGGGUAAAACCCAUGUUUAUUAAAGUUAAACUUAAGAUUUAUUAUUAUUAUUUUUUAAAAUAUAUUUUAUUGAUUUUUACAGAGAGGAAGAGAGAGGGAUAGAGAGUUAGAAACAGCAAUGAGAGAAAAACAUUGAUCAGCUGCCUCCUGCACACCCCCCACUGGGGAUGUGCCCGCAACCAAGGCACAUGCUCUUGACCAGAAUGGAAUCAGGGACCCUUCAGUCCGCAGGGCCGACGCUCCAUCCACUGAGUCAAACCGGUCAGGGCUAAACUUAAGAUUUAUUAAUUAAAGAAGAUUAUUCUGAUCAGAUGUUUAUAGUGCCUGCUCUCCCCCACCCCUUUUGAAAGUUGUUAAAACUUCAACCAGUUCAGAUGACCUUCCAGACUCCAUAUUAGAAUGUUUGUGAGGUGUGUGAUGUUUUAGUGGGGACAGUAUUUUGGUUGAUAUUCCUUGUCUUGGACUAAUGCAUUUGACAUGGUGAGAUCCAGGGUUUUACUUCCUGUGAUGGGACAUGCAUGUUUUCUUAAAGUUCAGCAGAUAGCAGCCUGUGACAUGAGAGAGUUUUCAGGAUUCAACACAAACUUGUAGCCCUCAGCAAAACUCGGAAGUUUCAUUGACGCUAUUCCAAGUUUCUGAUGUCUCCUCAUUUUAUUUAUAUUGAAUUAAUGAUUUAAAGAAAUCUAAAACUGCAAAAAUGAAGCCACACAACUGGUUAUAGUGUAUGCAUGUCUUUCUGCAUGAAAUAUAUGUACAGAUGUUUUAUGACCUAAUACCUCAUUGUAUGGGUGGGCCUUAAGGGAAUUACAGCUUAAUUAUUAGUAUACUGCACAGCAGUGAAUAUUCUAGUUUUUUCUAAAAAAAAUACUUUAAUGAUUUCAGAGAGGAAGGGAGGAGAGAGAGAGAAACAUCAAUGAUGAGAGAAUCAUUGGUCAGCUGCCUCUUGCACACCCCACACUGGGAUUGAGCCUGCAACCUGGGCAUGUGGCCUGACCGGGAAUGGAACUGUGACCUGGAUCAUAGGUCCAUGCUCAACCACUGAGCCACACUGGUCAGGCACUAUUCUAGUUUCCUUAGGGUUCUAUAGGAUAUAUUUCUGUAGGUAAAAUUGCUGGUUUAAAGGAAUUCAAAUUUAAGACAUUGAUGAAUCCUACCAAAGUACUUUCUGCAAGGAACAGUUAAACUGUGAACAAGGUGACGACAAGUGUGCCUUUUUCCCCGUGUCUUAGCCGAGAUUGGCUAAGUAUACUACUUGCAGGCAGAAGGGAGCUUAUAUUUUCAUUUGCUUUUUGCCCCCUCAUAUGGAGAAAGAACCUUUGCUUGAAAUUAUGUGGAUUUGAAUGCUGACUUAAUUAUGUGUGGGUACCUGGGCCUCCCUGGGCUCAAUUGCAUCAUCUGUGAAAUAGGUAUAAUCUAAAAAAAAAAUGACAUGAAGCUUGGUGAUCUGGAUUCCAUGAAUAAUUUACAUUUACUUUUGUAAUCUGUCUUCCUUCAGUGGGCCCCUUGAGGACUGGAAUGGCAGAACAAAUUAACAUGAAUUUCUGUAAAAAC
Molecule: RNA transcript, 4641 nt
Organism: Myotis daubentonii (Daubenton's bat)
Lineage: Eukaryota; Metazoa; Chordata; Mammalia; Chiroptera; Vespertilionidae
Gene: HAPSTR1
Gene name: HUWE1 associated protein modifying stress responses
Source: RefSeq, a predicted model, not a curated record